CCUACGGGAGGCAGCAGUAGGGAAUAUUGCUCAAUGGGGGCAACCCUGACGCAGCAACGCCGCGUGGAGGAUGAAGGUUUUCGGAUUGUAAACUCCUUUUGUUAGAGAAGAUAAUGACGGUCUCUAACGAAUAAGCACCGGCUAACUCCGUGCCAGCAGCCGCGGUAAUAAGGAGGGUGCAAGCGUUACGCGGAAUCACUGGGCGUAGAGAGCGCGUAGGCGGGAUAGCAAGUCAGAUGUGAAAUCCUAUGGCUUAACCAUAGUACUGCAUUUGAAACUGUUAUUCUAGAGUAUGGGAGAGGUAGGUGGAAUUCUGGGUGUAGGGGUAAAAUCCGUAGAGAUCAAGAGGAAUACUCAUGGCGAAGGCGACCUGCUAGAACAUAACUGACGCUGAGGCGCGAAAGCGUGGGGAGCAAACAGGAUUAGAUACCCUUGUAGUC
RNAcentral lists this ribosomal RNA (440 nucleotides) under uncultured bacterium. RNAcentral describes it as "partial 16S ribosomal RNA". It matches the Rfam family "Bacterial small subunit ribosomal RNA", at positions 338 to 795 of the family's 1533-position model. The record is from RNAcentral.